This 3823-nucleotide long non-coding RNA is filed under the name Vitis vinifera (wine grape). Its description in RNAcentral is "long non-coding RNA (VVIN_LNC002023)". Lineage: Eukaryota; Viridiplantae; Streptophyta; Magnoliopsida; Vitales; Vitaceae. The record is from RNAcentral.
AUGUGAGUGUUUAUGCCAUUUUUAAAGGUUUUUCAUUUUGUUUUUCUGGAUUAGAUGUUAUGUGCUAUCCUGGGUGAGAAUUUUUUUCAUGUUGAUAACCUGCUGUUUGGUAUAGCUGCUAGUUUCUUCUCUCGUUAUGCAGAAGAAGUGCCGUAUGGAAUAGUUUUUUGUUUUACCUUCACCUAGAAGCUUCCUACAUAAGCAAAAAGCUUUUUUUUUUCCUUUUCUUUUUCUUUAAGUCAACAUCUCUUUUGAUAAAAUUAGGUAAACAUGUAUAUAAAACUCUUAUUUAAGAAAAAGUUUUAGGCUUUUCAGAACCCGAGUCGAAUAGGGUCAAAGAAGAAGAUAUAGAAGUCAAUGCUAUUAAUGUCCUCUUGGCUUUGCAUUCAAAAUCGUGUUUUAAAUUCUGGUCCUUAGGUUGUAGAUUUUGUGGAUUGGUUGGGCUCCUUGGGCAUAGUUUUUUGUUGAUUCCUCUUCUUUUGUUUGUGCUUUUAAGCAUUCAUUGUAUACUCCCUAUGUACUUUGGAGUGCUGUUUUGGUGCUCUACACUUUUGCUUUACUCAUAAAAAAAAAGUUGUCUUUUUUCUAUCUUCCUUGUUACUUGCCUGUUUUUUUGUGCUAAUUCUAUACAUCAUGUGUACCUUGUUGCAUUGUUUUUAGGUCCUUUAUUUGUAAAUAUGUCUUUUUGUUUGCCUAAUAAAAAACAAAGAUUUUUCUGGGGUUCGUUAAAAGAAGAUAUCAUGUUUUUUACUUUUCUUUUUGAUACAUUUGAGAAAAAAAGAGAGAAGGUGAUUUUUUGAAAGAAGAUAACAGGGAAAGGUGCGAAGCGGGUCCUCUAAACCUCCUCGGGCAUAGAGAGCAAUGGAAAAAGUAGACUUCAAGACUUUUAAUAUUCAUUAAUGCUAUUCAGUGAUUAAAAAUGAGGAUCCUGUGGCAUCUGACUCCCGCUUUAUUUGGCAUUGAGUGGGUGUUGCCUUUUAAAGCUGAACAUGCUUUGUUAAGUUGGCAAGGGACUUUUGUGGGUAAGAACCAAAGGAGGGCAUGGAGGACUACCGUGUUGUAUUUAUUCUAGACUAGUUAGAAGGAGAGGAACCAUAGAGGGAUUGAAAAUGUGGAUUAGUCAGAUUAUGUUCUUAUAAGUUAAAUUCUUUUUGGCUUUAGAUUAGGACGUUCCUAUAUACUGCCUCAUUGCCUAUGUUAGAUCUUGUUGGUUGGAUGGGUGCUUCUUAAUUGAAGGGAAGUUUAAUUUUGUUUCUUUCUUCUAUUUCUUUGCCAUGUUGGUGCCAAUUUGUUUUAGGCGUUGAUAAUAGUAUUCUUGUUUUCUUAUCGAGAGAAAGAUAAAGAGAGAGAGAGCAAAAAGUGUCCUUAUUCGUUGUUUUUCCCUUUAUUUAUAAAAGAAAAUCAAAACCUAAAUUGAAGCUAAACUCUACUAGAUCUUUAAAUUUAUUAAAUAAAUGCUCAUACUAUCUAGAUUAUUCAUUUAAUCAGUAUUUAAAAUUCUUAAUUUUCAUUACUAUAAAUUCUAAAUUAACCUUAUCAAAAUUUCCUAAAAUAUGCUUACUUUGUAUGGCACUUGAGCCUUUUGUGUGUGUAAUCUUUUUGAUGAUUCCAUCAUGUGACUUGUCUUAAUUGCACUAAAUGUAGUUGAAUUUAGUUUUAUAACUCUAUCAAUCAAUCUUUAUAAAUUUACUAAAUAAAUACUCAUACCAUCUAGAUUCUUCAUUUAAUCAGUAUUGGAAAUUCUUAAUUUUCAUUACUAUAAAUUCUAAAUUAACCUUAUCAAAAUUUCCUAAAACAUGCUUACUUUGUAUGGCACUUGAGCCUUUUGUGUGUGUAAUCUCUUUGAUGAUUCCAUCAUGUGACUUGUCUUAAUUGCACUAAAUGUAGUUGAAUUUAGUUUUAUAACUCUAUCAAUCAAUCUUUAUAAAUUUACUAAAUAAAUACUCAUACUAUCUAGAUUCUUCAUUUAAUCAGUAUUGGAAAUUCUUUAUUUUCAUUACUAUAAAUUCUAAAUUAACCUUAUCAAAAUUUCCUAAAACAUGCUUACUUUGUAUGGCACUCAAGCCUUUUGUGUGUGUAAUCUCUUUGAUGAUUCCUUCAUGUGACUUGUCUUAAUUGCACUAAAUGUAGUUGGAUUUAGUUUUAUAACUCUAUUAAUCAAUCUUUAUAAAAUUGUAGCUGAAGUUUUAUCUAAAUGUCUUCAAAUGUUCCUUGAGGGUACCAUUUCCCUAUUGCAAGGAGCAUUCUCAUGGGGGGUGCUAAGAUUUUUUAUGUGGUGUUGGUUGCAAAUGAUGUGAUGGAUGAGAGUCCUGACUUGUAAGGGAUGGUUUUUAAGGAUGAGUUUGUGAAAGUAUACGAGUAUGUUGAUUGGGAUUCUUAGACCAUGUCAUGCUUGGGCAAGAGUUUAGUCCCAAAUGGAGGCUUUGGUUUAGAGUUGUUUUUCUUCUGCUAGUUUUGUUGUGCUAGUAAAUUGCAACUUGGGAGGUUAGGUGAAGGCCUAUUUUUUUCUUUGUUUUAAGCAGAAUGAUAAGGGCUGUUGCUAUGUUGCUUGGACUCAAGUGUGGAUGCAUAUUUAAGAGUCAGAUUCUUCAACUCCUAAACUAUUUAAGACUUGGAUUCUUUUACUCCAAAGUUUAGGAUAUGGGGGAUAAACUAAAAAGGAUAAAAAUUUAGAUAUGAAUACAAAGAUACAACAUAAUAAAAGGAAAAAAAAGGAACUUUUGUAUUGUUUUUAAUGAAAAAUUGAAUUGUUUUUAAUUGUUUUUAUGGAGAAUACUUUGAGAACUUUUGUACUGUACAUAGGUGUACAAUUCCUUUAUGGAGAAUAAGUCGAGAAAACUGUUUUUCAUAUUUGUGUUCCCAAAUAAAAUUUUGUUUAGUUCUUCUGAUAAAAAAAUAAAUAAAAAAAUAAAAUUUUGUUUAGUUCUCAAAAACUGUUUUUUGAGGAGUGUUUUCGAAAAUAUUAAAAUAGGCCCUUGGAGUGUUACGUGGUGAAUAGGAAUCUUAUUAAAGUGUCUUAUUCAUUGAAGGCAUUUUUUCCUUCGAAGCCAUGCUAGACAAUGUCUAUAAACCUAAUCUCAUUCUUUCGUUUCUGGGGCAGAUUUCCAAGCCCAAGAUCAACCUUAAUGGGGCACUAUUCUAUACAGGUUUUGGAGGAGUGAUUAGCCUUUUAUUUCCCCAUUGCCUAGUGGGUAUAAUAUUCUGGCAUAGACUAUUUUAGCGAUUGUUAAGGUUCUUCCUAGGGGUGUAGAUGAUUUGAUGAUUACUACCUUUUUUAUUUUGGUGGUGAUGAUGGGAGUGGGGUCCCUUCACGGCUUACAACUCAAGCAAUUAUUUAGUUAAUAUUAAUAGAGAGCAAUGUCAAACCUUGGGGAUUUGUGACCUUUGAGAAUAAACAUAGAUAUUUGGAAUCAUUGUGGGAUUCAAUAUUUUUUCUCUCAUUUCUUUAGGUUUUAUGUUUUGAUUUGAGAUUUGCAUGUUUCUCUAGGGAAUUAUUCCAAGUGGAAACUCUAUUCAACGUGUAUCUCAAGCUUAAUUUUGAUGAUUUUUGUAAGUAAUCUAGGGCAUUGUGAUAAAAGGUGUGUUUAGAGAUCACAAGAACUUGAUACCUAUCAAAAAAAGAGACCACAAGAACUUGAUGGUUGAGGGCUUACUUGCACAUGUUAGAAAGGGGUUAUCAUUGAGAUUGAGACCCUUGCUUUAUUGGAAGGCUUGAUCCUUACAGCCACAUUGACUUACAUAAUGUUCUAGCAAUGUUACCUAGUUAGGGUCUCUUAUGAAAAUUAAGGUCCAUGAAAAUUAGGCUCUUUUGGUGUUUAAAGUU